Molecule: ribosomal RNA, 735 nt
Filed under: Sporosarcina sp.
Lineage: Bacteria; Bacillati; Bacillota; Bacilli; Caryophanales; Caryophanaceae
Description: bacterial SSU rRNA
Rfam family: Bacterial small subunit ribosomal RNA
Source: RNAcentral
UGGCUCAGGACGAACGCUGGCGGCGUGCCUAAUACAUGCAAGUCGAGCGGACAGAUGGGAGCUUGCUCCCUGAAGUUAGCGGCGGACGGGUGAGUAACACGUGGGCAACCUGCCCUGCAGAUGGGGAUAACUCCGGGAAACCGGGGCUAAUACCGAAUAAUCAGUUUCUCCGCAUGGAGAAACUCUGAAAGACGGUUUCGGCUGUCACUGCAGGAUGGGCCCGCGGCGCAUUAGCUAGUUGGUGGGAUAACGGCCUACCAAGGCAACGAUGCGUAGCCGACCUGAGAGGGUGAUCGGCCACACUGGGACUGAGACACGGCCCAGACUCCUACGGGAGGCAGCAGUAGGGAAUCUUCCACAAUGGACGAAAGUCUGAUGGAGCAACGCCGCGUGAGUGAAGAAGGUUUUCGGAUCGUAAAGCUCUGUUGUGAGGGAAGAACACGUACGGGAGUCACUGCCCGUACCUUGACGGUACCUCAUUAGAAAGCCACGGCUAACUACGUGCCAGCAGCCGCGGUAAUACGUAGGUGGCAAGCGUUGUCCGGAAUUAUUGGGCGUAAAGCGCGCGCAGGCGGUCCUUUAAGUCUGAUGUGAAAGCCCACGGCUCAACCGUGGAAGGUCAUUGGAAACUGGGGGACUUGAGUACAGAAGAGGAAAGCGGAAUUCCACGUGUAGCGGUGAAAUGCGUAGAGAUGUGGAGGAACACCAGUGGCGAAGGCGGCUUUCUGGUCUGUA